This 391-nucleotide ribosomal RNA is filed under the name Paracalanus sp. Its description in RNAcentral is "partial small subunit ribosomal RNA". It matches the Rfam family "Eukaryotic small subunit ribosomal RNA", at positions 582 to 975 of the family's 1831-position model. The record is from RNAcentral. Lineage: Eukaryota; Metazoa; Arthropoda; Copepoda; Calanoida; Paracalanidae.
AUUCCAGCUCCAAUAGCGUAUAUUAAAGUUGUUGUGGUUAAAAAGCUCGUAGUUGGAUCUCAACAGCCUUGAAGCGGUUAACUUUGUAGUUUUACUGCUUUAUAGGCUGUGCUUUUGCUGGAGGUUUAGGGGUGCUCUUGAUCGAGUGUCUCUGGAUGCCAGCAGGUUUACUUUGAAAAAAUUAGAGUGCUCAAAGCAGGCUAAAAUGCCUGAAUAUUCGUGCAUGGAAUAAUAGAAUAGGAUGUCGAUCCUAUUUUGUUGGUUUUCGGGACUCGACAUAAUGAUAAAUAGGGACAGUCGGGGGCAUUUGUAUUCAAACGACAGAGGUGAAAUUCUUGGACCGUUUGAAGACAAACUACUGCGAAAGCAUUUGCCAAGAAUGUAUUCAUCA